UAGAAUGGAAACAGAUCUUAUUGGCAUUUCAGAUUUGGAUUUAGUUUAUGGAAGAUUGGGGUUGACAUUCGAUUAGGGUUUAUAUUUCUAUGUAGGGCUUAGAGAUAAGUGGCUAGGGUUUAGUUUAUGAAAGAUUAGGGUUGACAUUGAGUUAGGGUAUAUACUUCCAUGUAGGGUUUAGUAAAUUAAGAUUGAGAUGAGAUUAGGGUUAUAUUUCCGUGUAGGGUUUAGUGAUUACCUUCUUCCCUGUAAUCAUAGAUACCUCAAAAUUUGAACAACAUAUAUGUAAUGUGCUAUAUCGUUUGUUACAUUUUCUAUUCUAUAUGAUCAUGUAGAAUGAAAAUGCAUGUUACUUACAUUUCGAAAUUUGGAUUUAGUUUAUGAAAGAUUGGGGUUGAUAUUGGAUUAGGGUUUAUAUUUUCAUGUAGGGUUUAGUGAUUAGUGGCUAGGAGUUAGUUUAUGAAAGAUUGGGGUUGACAUUGGAUUAGGAUUUAUAUUCCCGCGUAGGGUUUACUGAAUAGUUGAUAUGGUUUAAUUCAUGUAUGAUUGUGGUUGACAUUGAGUUAGGGUAUAUGGAAGAUUGGGGUUGACAUUCGAUUAGGGUUUAUAUUUCUAUGUAGGGCUUAGAGACAAGUGGCUAGGGUUUAGUUUAUGAAAGAUUAGGGUUGACAUUGAGUUAGGGUAUAUACUUCCAUGUAGGGUUUAGUAAAUUAAGAUUGAGAUGACAUUAGGGUUAUAUUUCCGUGUAGGGUUUAGUGAUUACCUUCUUCCCUGUAAUCAUAAAUACCUCAAAAUUUGAGCAAUAUAUAU
RNAcentral lists this long non-coding RNA (810 nucleotides) under Brassica napus (rape). Its description in RNAcentral is "long non-coding RNA (BNAP_LNC013777)". Lineage: Eukaryota; Viridiplantae; Streptophyta; Magnoliopsida; Brassicales; Brassicaceae. The record is from RNAcentral.